GGCGCGGCCAAGAACCCCCUUCACACGUGCAGACAAAGAGACGUAACAACACAACCAAAAUAUUAACGUAUAAACUUUUUCGAAAACGACGACGGUUUUCGUGGACAUGUGAAACGGAACACAUAAGGAAAAUGUAUGUAUAUAUUGUGCUUGCUUGUUUUUAAACUAAUUUAAUGGAUUUGUUUUCAGUGAAAAGUUGCUCGGAGUUGGUGCGUCAGCUCGCAAAGUUGAGCACAAAGAGGAGAGGAGCGUUCCUUUGUUCCACGGAGGGCUUUGAAGGGAAAUCGUGGAUGAAGAAUUCCAGUUAUCCUGUUUCAAAAUGAAUGUUAAAUAAGAAAGAUGCAACAGGACGAAACUAUGGAAACUUGCAUCUGUCCGAAUGAUGAGGUUUGAAAUGUAUGGGGAACACAAAGAGAAUAAAAACUACAACGGAGACAAUGGAAAUGGAGAAACCGCAUAGUUCGGCGAAUGAGCAACAGGUCCUGCAAAUCUCUCAAGCAGCAAGAUACACCUUUGUAAGGACUAUGGAGACUGGUGUAGGCUACUAUGUAUUUGGAAAGUAAAAGUUUGGGAUACUGACAUUUUUGGAUUCUAUUUCUGCACAAUUAUGGAAUAAUACAAAGAUGGAUUAUAAUGUACUUUCAAAAACAAAGAACUUAACUUUUAUGAAUCAGUGGAUGGAAAACGUCAUGGAGCAUGACACACAACAAAGCAAGGUGCUCACGGACAUGAUUUGGAAGUGCCUGCAGUCCUUGCCUUGUCCAGCUGUGACCCGUCUUCCUCUGGUCACACGUUAGAGGAAGAACACUGGAGGUCAGGGUGCAGAGCAAGACAGCCGACAAGCAGGAUAAAAUGUGGGAUCCUCCCUUUCUUGCUUUUUGAGUAGCUGACCUGUGAUGACAGCAAGGUCAAGGGUCAACACUGAUCAACUGCCAUCCUGGAAGCCUCUUUGACAUUGAGAUUCAGGGAAUGUAGAGCUGUGUCCUACUGGGCUUCUGUGUCUUGGCUUCUGGACUGACCGCUCCGGCCAUGGGAUCCAUUGGAGAACCCUGACACCUACAGCCCUCACCAUGCACUCCACUAUACUAACGCAGCAGGCUGAAAAAAAUGGCUGUCUUAACCCCUUAAGCCCUGGGCUGGGCCCAUGGGAAGUUUCCUUGGUGAACUAGACCCCCCUAUAAGCUCCUUCCCUGAGGAUGGCACCCCGCUGAUCCUCCUUGGAGACUUCAACAUCCACCUCAAAGCCUCCCAGACUGCUGCCUUCCUACUUUUACUCCGCUCCUUCAACACUCAUAACCCAUAAGGCUGGCAACCUCCUUGACCAGAUCUUUAUGAGGAACUGGUCCUGCUCUGAUUUCAGAGUUACCCCUCUGCAUACAUUUGAUCACCACUUCAUUUCCUUCUGGUUUUAUAGAUAUAAUCCAUUGUCAGAUUAAUCAAAUAGGCCAAUGUCCUUAUCUUUGUUGUAUUCUUAGCACUUGAAAUUGUACUUCCCUCUAGGGAUUUUGAGCGCACUUGUCCUCGUUAUGGGUAUGCACUUUGCCGAAUGCCAAUAAUGUAAUGUAAUGUAAUGUAAUUUGGGGAGUGGGUGAGAUAGUCUAGUGUCUAGUGCAGACACAUUAGAACAUGGCAAAGAUGUACAUAUUACUGCUUAUAUCAUUUUAAUUAUUUGCUUUGUGUCAUAUUUUAGAUGUUUAUAUUCACAUUUCUCAUAAUAGACAAUGUCUCGCCUUAGCUAAUAAUCCCCAGCACAUUAUUGAGGACUACUAGCUAGUCGUUCAGAUGGGAGCAUUGUUAGCGUAUCUUGUGCUGAUAUAUGCUAAAUGAAUGUUCCUAUGCAAGCUAGCUGUUCGUAUGCAAGCAUUGUUAGCAUACCCUGUGCUGACGUGCUAGAUGAAUGUAAUAUUUCCAUUGGAUUGAUUGGAAAUGGUAACAUUUGUGAAACAUUGUCCCAUCAAGCGAGGAUUUUGAUUUAGAUAAUGUAUAAGCUACCUGUUUCCUGUUUGUGACUGUAUUUAAUUGCAAAAUAAGUAACUGAACUUAAUUGUUGCAUUU
Conger conger (European conger) is the source of this 2055-nucleotide long non-coding RNA. RefSeq lists it as uncharacterized. The record is from RefSeq and is a predicted model, not a curated record. Lineage: Eukaryota; Metazoa; Chordata; Actinopteri; Anguilliformes; Congridae. The transcript is spliced from 8 exons.